Salmo salar (Atlantic salmon) is the source of this 54-nucleotide non-coding RNA. The record is from Rfam. Lineage: Eukaryota; Metazoa; Chordata; Actinopteri; Salmoniformes; Salmonidae.
UGUAUUCACUACUGUAAGUAGCUCUGGAUAAGAGCGUAUACUAAAUGACUGAAA